GGACUUGGGAGUGGCUCUCUCCUUCCCCAGAGCUUUAUAAAACUUCAGCCCAGAGGCUCCAGCUCUGCGAACUACAUCCUAUUUCCCUGCUCUGGUGAGUUCUUCUCCCUGAUGUAGCAGAGAGCCCAGGGACUUCUUUAUGGACUCGGGGGUUCUCCCUUGUAAGCAGGUUCAGGCAGAGAUUCAGGAAGUAGCUUUAGGAGAGCUGGCAGUGGUCCUUGUGGGUGGGAGGACAGAAUGAGAGGGAUGAGUAGGCAGGGAUCCUCCCUCACUGGACCCCCGAGGUCUGUUUGAGGGCUUGAGGAAUCUGAAGAGUCAUUUUCUAGAACCUUGUCAACUGCAUGCAGGAGUGGGGUAGACGAGUAGGUUCUUGCACUGAGCACCCUCCGAUUCCGUUAGCAGAAGUAGUGUGUGGGACUGAAGAUGGGUCUGGCCCGAUUGAUCCUGAGCUCAGUGGGGUUUUGCCAACCCUAGGCUUCUCUCCUAGGAACAGUAGCUAGUACGUGGGAGGACAGUGAUGCAACAUAAACAGCCAUUGGAGACAAGCAGUCUCCUGACCCUAAGAAAGGGAGUGGCAGAAAGAAAGGACCAUUGGAGUAGAGGCCCCACAGCGGAUGUUACCACACUCAGAGAACUCUAAAAAAAAAAAAAAACCCUUGCAGCACUGGUAGAAACCACUAUCGAGAUAUCCCCGAGGCAGACACUCAGACACAAGAGUCAGAAAGAAAGGAUUUCUGUAAGUGAGAUUCUGUUGUUUGUCCUGGACCCUUUCAUCUCUCCCAUGUUGACUCUUUCAGGAAGCCACUUCACCUGUUCUUGGAUCCCUGACUCUCCUGGCCUGUUUCUUCCCGGGCAGGUCAGUCUGUGCGGACAUCAGCUCCUUCUUUGGCGUACUGAUGGCAUCAGAGCCCCUGACUGAACUGGAGGAGGCCAUUGAAACCAUAAAGGAGACAUACCACACUUAUACAGUGGUGGGAGACCGAGGUUACCACCUGAACUUCAAAGUGUUUAAGAAACUGGUCACCCAAGAGCUGCCUCAUUUUCUCAAGUGUUCCCGGGCCUGUGAGGAUAAUGUGAAACUACCAUCCAUUCCCUGUGAGUAUUCCCUUAGGAAGGGGCUCCUUCAACAGAGGUGAGUGGGGAGUCUAACACCGACUCUGAGCUUGUGUGCUGU
This 1174-nucleotide long non-coding RNA is filed under the name Meriones unguiculatus (Mongolian gerbil). Its description in RNAcentral is "lncRNA (ENSMUGG00000024613.1)". The record is from RNAcentral. Lineage: Eukaryota; Metazoa; Chordata; Mammalia; Rodentia; Muridae.